This 595-nucleotide ribosomal RNA is filed under the name uncultured archaeon. RNAcentral describes it as "bacterial SSU rRNA". It matches the Rfam family "Archaeal small subunit ribosomal RNA", at positions 30 to 633 of the family's 1478-position model. The record is from RNAcentral.
CUAUCGGUGUCGAUUAGGCCUGCCAGUCGAGAGGUGUAAAACCUCGGCUGACUGCUCAUUAACACGUGGAUUACCUGCCCAAGGGUCCGGGAUAACCCCGGGAAACUGGGGAUAAUACCGGAUGGGUCACCAAUGCUGGAAUGCUUGGUGGUCGAAAGGUGACGCCUUUGGAUGGGUCUGCGGCGGAUUAAGUUGACGCCGGUGUAACGUACCGGCGUGCCUGUAAUCCGUACGGGUUGUGGGAGCAAGAGCCCGGAGAUGGAUUCUGAAACACGAAUCCAGGCCCUACGGGGCGCAGCAGGCGCGAAAACUCUACAAUGCAGGCGACUGCGAUAGGGGGACAUCGAGUGGCAUCCACCUUGGGUGUCUGUCCAACCGUCUAAAAAACGGUUGUUAGCAAGGGCCGGGCAAGACCGGUGCCAGCCGCCGCGGUAAUACCGGCGGCUCGAGUGGUGGCCGAUAUUAUUGAGUCUAAAGGGUCCGUAGCCGGCUUUGCAAGUCCCCUGGAAAAUCCGGCGGCUUAGCCGUUGGGCUUUCAUGCGAUACUACAUUGCUUGUCACUGGAAGAGGUACGAGGUACUCAGGGGGUAAGGGU